AACCAGCUAGCUCAGUUGGUAGAGCAUGAGACUCUUAAUCUAAGGGUCAUGGGUUCAAGCCACAUGUUGAGUA
Molecule: transfer RNA, 73 nt
Filed under: Cricetulus griseus (Chinese hamster)
Lineage: Eukaryota; Metazoa; Chordata; Mammalia; Rodentia; Cricetidae
Rfam family: tRNA
About the family: Transfer RNA (tRNA) molecules are approximately 80 nucleotides in length. Their secondary structure includes four short double-helical elements and three loops (D, anti-codon, and T loops).
Source: Rfam by way of RNAcentral